AUACAGAGGGUGCGAGCGUUAAUCGGAAUUACUGGGCGUAAAGCGCGCGUAGGCGGCUUGGUCAGUCGGAUGUGAAAGCCCCGGGCUUAACCUGGGAAUUGCAUUCGAAACUGCAUGGCUAGAGUCUGAUAGAGGGAAGUGGAAUUUCCGGUGUAGCGGUGAAAUGCGUAGAUAUCGGAAGGAACAUCAGUGGCGAAGGCGACUUCCUGGAUCAAGACUGACGCUAAGGUGCGAAAGCGUGGGGAGCAAACAGGAUUAGAAACCCCGGUAGUCC
Molecule: ribosomal RNA, 274 nt
Filed under: uncultured bacterium
Lineage: Bacteria
Description: partial 16S ribosomal RNA
Rfam family: Bacterial small subunit ribosomal RNA
Source: RNAcentral